CACAUCAUUUAGCUAAGAUAAAUGACAAACUAUGAGCCAGAGGAGGAGAGGCUACAUCAGCUCAUGCUUGGGUGAGCAUGUAGGGCAUGGAUGCACCACACGCCUUGAGAGCAAUAGCAGCUGAAAUAAACUGUCGAAAAGAAGAAAAACACAGAUGAUUGGAGGAUGGGAGCAAGAAGAAAGAUGAAAAGAAGGAAGAGAUGGGAGGAGGAGAGAAAUGAUGAGGAAGAAGUCAAGAGAUCAAUCCCUAGUUUGGGAUUAUCUCUGCUCCGAUAACAUCCGCCACCCCACCCACUGCCAUUAAGAUCUGCUCCCUUUUAGGUUUCAGCUGCUGGCCAAGUUUACACCUAGCUCUACGGUUACAGUCUUCAAAUGCGAUUAGUGCUUAUCUGAAAAGAGACCAAACUACCGUCAUCAUUGAGUUCAUCAUCAUAUCCAUAUUCAUGUCUUUUAAAUCCCCUCUGGAGUAAAACUAAAAGGAUUCAAGUACCUGAAAACAGUGAGCUCUUAGCGGCGGAGGAAGGAUUGCAGAUUUAUCUAUUGAGGUCAGAGUGCGGUAUAAAACAUUUUCGGGUGUUUUUUUCUCACAAAGAAGCAUGGUUUGCAGAAAAAAGUGACAGUUCCGUUCAAACUGAAAAUGAUAAAAACAAAUAUAUGUAACAUUAGAAAACGUUUGUGCUUUAUUAACUUAAUAUUAAACAAAAUGUUCGCUUAAAGUUUACUUCAACGUAAUCAGUGAUAUUGUGGUUUGUUUGGGCCAUUUUGCCAAGUAGCAUGUUGCUUCAAACAUGUGCAUACUGGUCCACAUCAGUGUAAUAGCAUAUGCAACAAUGCCUCCUCUUCAGCAUGACAAAUGCUGGCUUUCAAGACAUGUGCUGAUAAUUUUUUUUAGCUUGAAAGACACAGCAUCCAAUAUAUGAAAUAAAAACAAAUAAUUUUUUCUACUUUCUACUAUGUACCAGUCAUCCAAAAAUGAGUUUGACCUUGGAGGGCAGCAGUGCCUCUGCGUCUCGAUUAUGCAUAAUUUAAACCACCAAUGUUUUAGCAAAUGGCACAUGUAUUUUUGAUAAUGAAAAUAUCCAAUUACUUGCUUUUUUAAGGUAUUGUAGUUUAUAUGGUCACUUCCUAUGGUUCUUAUCCAGGUUUUUGACUAAA
Girardinichthys multiradiatus is the source of this 1155-nucleotide long non-coding RNA. RefSeq lists it as uncharacterized. The transcript is spliced from 3 exons. The record is from RefSeq and is a predicted model, not a curated record. Lineage: Eukaryota; Metazoa; Chordata; Actinopteri; Cyprinodontiformes; Goodeidae.